UCCCAUAUGGUCUAGCUGGUUUAGGGAUCCGGCAGCUCUCACCGCCGUGGCCGGGUUCGAUUCCCGGAGGUGGGAA
Desmophyllum pertusum is the source of this 76-nucleotide non-coding RNA. The record is from the annotation of a GenBank genome assembly. Lineage: Eukaryota; Metazoa; Cnidaria; Anthozoa; Scleractinia; Caryophylliidae.